This 497-nucleotide ribosomal RNA is filed under the name uncultured bacterium. Its description in RNAcentral is "partial 16S ribosomal RNA". It matches the Rfam family "Bacterial small subunit ribosomal RNA", at positions 28 to 507 of the family's 1533-position model. The record is from RNAcentral.
GAUGAACGCUGGCGGCGUGCCUAAUACAUGCAAGUCGAGCGAACAGAUGAGGAGCUUGCUCCUCUGACGUUAGCGGCGGACGGGUGAGUAACACGUGGAUAACCUACCUAUAAGACUAGGAUAACUUCGGGAACCCGGAGCUAAUACCGGAUAAUAUAUUGAACCGCAUGGUUCAAUAGUGAAAGACGGUUUUGCUGUCCCUAAUAGAUGGAUCCGCGCCGCAUUAGCUAGUUGGUAAGGUAACGGCUUACCAAGGCAACGAUGCGUAGCCGACCUGAGAGGGUGAUCGGCCACACUGGAACUGAGACACGGUCCAGACUCCUACGGGAGGCAGCAGUAGGGAAUCUUCCGCAAUGGGCGAAAGCCUGACGGAGCAACGCCGCGUGAGUGAUGAAGGUCUUCGGAUCGUAAAACUCUGUUAUUAGGGAAGAACAAAUGUGUAAGUAACUAUGCACGUCUUGACGGUACCUAAUCAGAAAGCCACGGCUAACUACGUG